ACGUCGAAUGCAUGGGUUGGGCAAGGAAUAAGUAAGAGGGAAAAAAAGAAAGAAAGAAAAAGUUGUCGAGCGAAACCCUCACACCGCACGUCCUCCACCUCCCUUCGCCUCCAGCGCCCCUCCUCCCUCUCCAGCGCCGCCACAGCCGCCUGGGCGACGCUCCCACCCACCACCCAUGGUUGAGGUCGGCGAAGCGGCCCAUCGCGCGGCGCCUGGGGACGUCGCCUCCCUCCGCCGCCAGCAGCGGCGACCGGCUAACAUGCGGUCGUCGCCGCCAAAACCGGAUGGCGUGCUGUCCGGCGAGGGGCCCGACCUGCCGCGCGGCAUCGCCUCCUCCACAUCCGCCCGUGGAUCGAGCUCCACAACCUCCAUCCCGACCUGCCUUUCCCUCCUCUCGCUUGUCAGAAAGGAGUGCAGGCCGCUGUUGCCCCACACGAGGUCAUCCUCCUCUUUGGUUUUGCUGAUUCCGAUGGCGUUGGCUCGACCUACAGUUUAUACCGGAACUUAAUCUGAAGGUCAGGACUUCAUGCCCUUUUCUCUUGAGCUGAAACGCAUGCAAGCAUGGCUGUUGACCGAGCCCCCUAAUUCAACUAUUCAGGUACAGAUUGAUUGGGUCAUGUCUGUAGUUUUUUUCAGUGCUGCAGGUUCAUGUUCUUGGGGAAAAAUCGUUGUCUAUUUCCUAUAUUGGUGAUGCGGGUGAACUGAUUUGGGUAUUAUAAUGAGCUUUUUCUCUUUGGAAAAUGUCGAUGUUAAAGCAUUUGGUCAUGAUGGAUCAUUUUACUGGUUCUCAGUUCAACUCAAGAUGGCUCAGAUAGGACCAAGUUUGAAUAUUCAUGUGUUGGAUAGGGGUUGGGGUUGGUCUCCUGCACAAGAGAUAUGUGAAGGUGCAAAUUGGAGCAGAAGAUUCGUCUAUGAUGCAGCAGCUCAAAGCUGAAGAUUUUGAAGGAUGUCAUAUCUGAGCAGAUAGCUGAUCUGAUUGGGGAUGCUGGUAAUACGGUUGUUGUUAUAAAGUCUAAAAGCUACAUGGGAAGAUCUCAGCAAAUACUUUAAGCCGCAAAGUAUCAAAGGGGAUUUCACCCUCUUGCCAUGCGCUGAGCCGCGGUGGGAGAAAGUGGGUGGCAGCGAGCCAGUGGAUUGGUCAUUGGAUAACUGCUUGUUGUAUUUCACAAUGAGGACAUUUGUUUGGGGGGUGUAUCCUAGAGUUAAGGAUGCUUGGAUGGAAGUGGUGGCCUCACAAAGGCACCCUAAUGUGCGUAGGCAAGAUCGAAAUGCACAAAUACCUGCUCAGUUGCAGUCACUCUCAUCAUCAACGCUCAACAAUGGCCUCUUCUUCCGGUGCCCGAAGCAGCCGCAUACCCAUAUGCCUCGUGCUGAUUCUCCUGAUCGCCUGCGAGAAGUCAGCCAUCAUGCCGGUCGGCCAGCAAUGUGAAGGACCAGAUGAUCGUUGAUAAAUACGCGCUGUUCUGAUCAGAACUAUUGAUUUAUUGCAGUACGAUGUUGCCUCUUCAGUACAUCUGUGUUAGCUCUUUCUGUUACUAUCCAUUCUGUAAGCUCUAUUUGACAGGAAAAAGCCACUGAAGUUAGCGUUGCGUGCCUGAAAGUCUACAAGUAGUAGUCUGACAAGAGGGCGUUUUGAAAGAUGUUUGCUUGUUGUAGCUAUACCAGUUAUACCUCUACGGUAGGUAGCACUAGGGCAGCCCGGUGCAUGUAGCUCCCGCUUGCGCAGGGUCGGGGAAGGGUCCGACCACUUUGGGUCUAUAGUACGCAGCCUUUCCCUACAUUUCUGUAAGAGGCUGUUUCCAGGACUUGAACCCGUGACCUCAUGGUCACAAGGCAGCAGCUUUACCACUGCGCCAAGGCUCCCCUUCUCUACGGUAGGUAGCACUGUAUUUUAUUAUUUUUGUGGAUUUGGGGAGGAUUUUUAGCUCACUCUUUUUUUGUACCAAAUUAUCUGCAUUUGGCAGUGCUUUCAUAUUUCCCUUCUUUGGCUCUGAUGCAAUUAAACUUUGUUAUUGUAUGUUGAAAAUUCAGGUGAUGACCAAUCAAGAGGUUGUUGAUGAGAUCAACACCAGAGGGGCGGACAGGCAGCUGCGAAUCAUCUGACGGAGCAAAAUAGGAGGAGCGAAGACAACAUCUCUUGCGUCGCUGUAAACGUCCGCUGCUAUGAGAGCUUCAGUCAGUGAAUAGGAGGAGCAAAGACAAGAACUGCUUCGUCAUCGUAAACUUCCACUCUUGGCCGAGCUUCAACCUGCUAGUCCCUUAUGCGUACAAUUAGUUAUAUGCCAGAUUGGUUUUACAAUUUUUUCUGUAGUUAUUCAUACGAUGUAGAGUUUAAUAUGGUUGGGGAUAAUCCACCACCCAAUGGGAUUAAGGUCUCUAAAAUAUUGUUGUUUGUUUGGUUAUGAGGUGUAAAUUCUAUUGCAAGUUCCUU
Long non-coding RNA from Triticum dicoccoides, 2431 nucleotides. RefSeq lists it as uncharacterized. The record is from RefSeq and is a predicted model, not a curated record. The transcript is spliced from 11 exons. NCBI's taxonomy places the organism in Eukaryota, Viridiplantae, Streptophyta, Magnoliopsida, Poales, Poaceae.